This 526-nucleotide ribosomal RNA is filed under the name uncultured bacterium. RNAcentral's name for it is "bacterial SSU rRNA". It matches the Rfam family "Bacterial small subunit ribosomal RNA", at positions 355 to 896 of the family's 1533-position model. The record is from RNAcentral.
UAGGGAAUAUUGCACAAUGGGCGAAAGCCUGAUGCAGCAACGCCGCGUGCGCGAUGAAGGCCUUCGGGUUGUAAAGCGCUUCUCGGGGGGAUGAGGAAGGACAGUACCCCCGGAAUAAGUCUCGGCUAACUACGUGCCAGCAGCCGCGGUAACACGUAGGAGACUAGCGUUAUCCGGAUUUACUGGGCGUAAAGCGCGUGCAGGCGGUUCGGUAAGUCGGGCGUGAAAGCUCCUGGCUCAACUGGGAGAAGCCGUCCGAAACUACCAGACUUGAGGGCAGAAGAGGGAGGUGGAAUUCCGGGUGUAGUGGUGAAAUGCGUAGAUAUCCGGAGGAACACCAGUGGCGAAGGCGGCCUCCUGGUCUGUCCCUGACGCUCAGACGCGAAAGCUAGGGGAGCGAACGGGAUUAGAAACCCCGGUAGUCCUAGCCGUAAACGAUGCGGACUUGGUGUUGGUGGCUUAAACUCCAUCAGUGCCGUAGCUAACGCGAUAAGUCCGCCGCCUGGGGACUACGACCGCAAGGUUA